UAUUUUACAGUGUUGGUGCACGCAGAAUUUUGAAUUCUAAAGAAGGAUUAAAUACAUCCUUUUAAUAA
RNAcentral lists this transfer RNA (68 nucleotides) under Cipangopaludina ussuriensis. RNAcentral's name for it is "tRNA-Gln". Lineage: Eukaryota; Metazoa; Mollusca; Gastropoda; Architaenioglossa; Viviparidae. The record is from RNAcentral.